Molecule: transfer RNA, 70 nt
Filed under: Xenogryllus marmoratus
Lineage: Eukaryota; Metazoa; Arthropoda; Insecta; Orthoptera; Gryllidae
Description: tRNA-Lys
Source: RNAcentral
CAUCAGAUGACUGAAAGUAAGUAAUGGUCUCUUAAACCAAUUUAUAGUAAUUAACAAUUACUUCUGAUGA